CAAGCGUUGUCCGGAUUUAUUGGGCGUAAAGCGCGCGCAGGCGGUCUUUUAAGUCUGAUGUGAAAGCCCCCGGCUUAACCGGGGAGGGUCAUUGGAAACUGGAAGACUGGAGUGCAGAAGAGGAGAGUGGAAUUCCACGUGUAGCGGUGAAAUGCGUAGAUAUGUGGAGGAACACCAGUGGCGAAGGCGACUCUCUGGUCUGUAACUGACGCUGAGGCGCGAAAGCGUGGG
RNAcentral lists this ribosomal RNA (231 nucleotides) under Listeria monocytogenes. RNAcentral describes it as "partial 16S ribosomal RNA". It matches the Rfam family "Bacterial small subunit ribosomal RNA", at positions 535 to 765 of the family's 1533-position model. Lineage: Bacteria; Bacillati; Bacillota; Bacilli; Caryophanales; Listeriaceae. The record is from RNAcentral.